Molecule: unclassified non-coding RNA, 234 nt
Filed under: plant metagenome
Description: partial contains small subunit ribosomal RNA, internal transcribed spacer 1, and 5.8S ribosomal RNA
Source: RNAcentral
UUUCCGUAGGUGAACCUGCGGAAGGAUCAUUACAGUAGUCACCCAGGUUGCCGCAAGGCCUCCUGGGUAACCUACCACCCAUUGUUUAUUACACUUUGUUGCUUUGGCAAGCCUGCCCUCGGGCUGCUGGCUCCGGCCGGCGAGCGCUUGCCAGAGGACCUAAACUCUGUUUGUCUAUACUGUCUGAGUACUAUAUAAUAGUUAAAACUUUCAACAACGGAUCUCUUGGUUCUG